Molecule: ribosomal RNA, 253 nt
Filed under: uncultured bacterium
Lineage: Bacteria
Description: partial 16S ribosomal RNA
Rfam family: Bacterial small subunit ribosomal RNA
Source: RNAcentral
UACAGAGGGUGCAAGCGUUGUUCGGAAUUAUUGGGCGUAAAGGGCGCGUAGGCGGCUGAGCAAGUCGAAUGUGAAAUCCCUGGGCUUAACCCAGGAAGUGCAUUUGAUACUGCUCAACUUGAGUCCCGGAGAGGGUGGUGGAAUUCCCAGUGUAGAGGUGAAAUUCGUAGAUAUUGGGAGGAACACCGGUGGCGAAGGCGACCACCUGGACGGAGACUGACGCUGAGGCGCGAAAGCGUGGGGAGCAAACAGG